RNAcentral lists this unclassified non-coding RNA (376 nucleotides) under soil metagenome. Its description in RNAcentral is "partial contains 5.8S ribosomal RNA, internal transcribed spacer 2, and large subunit ribosomal RNA". The stretch from base 1 to 120 matches the Rfam family "5.8S ribosomal RNA", at positions 35 to 154 of the family's 154-position model. The record is from RNAcentral.
GAUGAAGAACGCAGUGAAAUGCGAUAAGUAAUGUGAAUUGCAGAAUUCAGUGAAUCAUCGAAUCUUUGAACGCACCUUGCGCUCCUUGGUAUUCUGAGGAGCAUGCCUGUUUGAGUGUCAUUAAAUUCUCAACUACACUGACUUUGAAUUGGUGUGGCUUGGAUUUGGGGGGAAAAUUGUUGUGGGCUUUUUGUAUAGUCUGCUCCCCUGAAAUUGAUUAGCGGUACCUUUGUGGAACUGUCUACAGGUGUGAUAAUUAUCUACAUCUUAGACAUCUGCUGGAAUGCUGCUUUCUAAACCUUACUUGUAUUGACAAUCUUGACCUCAAAUCAGGUAGGACUACCCGCUGAACUUAAGCAUAUCAAUAAGCGGAGGA